AGAGUUUGAUCAUGGCUCAGAUUGAACGCUGGCGGCAGGCCUAACACAUGCAAGUCGAACGGUAACAGGAAACAGCUUGCUGUUUCGCUGACGAGUGGCGGACGGGUGAGUAAUGUCUGGGAAACUGCCUGAUGGAGGGGGAUAACUACUGGAAACGGUAGCUAAUACCGCAUAACGUCGCAAGACCAAAGAGGGGGACCUUCGGGCCUCUUGCCAUCGGAUGUGCCCAGAUGGGAUUAGCUUGUUGGUGGGGUAACGGCUCACCAAGGCGACGAUCCCUAGCUGGUCUGAGAGGAUGACCAGCCACACUGGAACUGAGACACGGUCCAGACUCCUACGGGAGGCAGCAGUGGGGAAUAUUGCACAAUGGGCGCAAGCCUGAUGCAGCCAUGCCGCGUGUAUGAAGAAGGCCUUCGGGUUGUAAAGUACUUUCAGCGGGGAGGAAGGGAGUAAAGUUAAUACCUUUGCUCAUUGACGUUACCCGCAGAAGAAGCACCGGCUAACUCCGUGCCAGCAGCCGCGGUAAUACGGAGGGUGCAAGCGUUAAUCGGAAUUACUGGGCGUAAAGCGCACGCAGGCGGUUUGUUAAGUCAGAUGUGAAAUCCCCGGGCUCAACCUGGGAACUGCAUCUGAUACUGGCAAGCUUGAGUCUCGUAGAGGGGGGUAGAAUUCCAGGUGUAGCGGUGAAAUGCGUAGAGAUCUGGAGGAAUACCGGUGGCGAAGGCGGCCCCCUGGACGAAGACUGACGCUCAGGUGCGAAAGCGUGGGGAGCAAACAGGAUUAGAUACCCUGGUAGUCCACGCCGUAAACGAUGUCGACUUGGAGGUUGUGCCCUUGAGGCGUGGCUUCCGGAGCUAACGCGUUAAGUCGACCGCCUGGGGAGUACGGCCGCAAGGUUAAAACUCAAAUGAAUUGACGGGGGCCCGCACAAGCGGUGGAGCAUGUGGUUUAAUUCGAUGCAACGCGAAGAACCUUACCUGGUCUUGACAUCCACGGAAGUUUCCAGAGAUGGAUUGGUGCCUUCGGGAACUGUGAGACAGGUGCUGCAUGGCUGUCGUCAGCUCGUGUUGUGAAAUGUUGGGUUAAGUCCCGCAACGAGCGCAACCCUUAUCCUUUGUUGCCAGCGGUCCGGCCGGGAACUCAAAGGAGACUGCCAGUGAUAAACUGGAGGAAGGUGGGGAUGACGUCAAGUCAUCAUGGCCCUUACGACCAGGGCUACACACGUGCUACAAUGGCGCAUACAAAGAGAAGCGACCUCGCGAGAGCAAGCGGACCUCAUAAAGUGCGUCGUAGUCCGGAUUGGAGUCUGCAACUCGACUCCAUGAAGUCGGAAUCGCUAGUAAUCGUGGAUCAGAAUGCCACGGUGAAUACGUUCCCGGGCCUUGUACACACCGCCCGUCACACCAUGGGAGUGGGUUGCAAAAGAAGUAGGUAGCUUAACCUUCGGGAGGGCGCUUACCACUUUGUGAUUCAUGACUGGGGUGAAGUCGUAACAAGGUAACCGUAGGGGAACCUGCGGUUGGAUCACCU
Molecule: ribosomal RNA, 1530 nt
Filed under: Escherichia coli HVH 185 (4-2876639)
Lineage: Bacteria; Pseudomonadati; Pseudomonadota; Gammaproteobacteria; Enterobacterales; Enterobacteriaceae
Description: bacterial SSU rRNA
Rfam family: Bacterial small subunit ribosomal RNA
Source: RNAcentral